Molecule: long non-coding RNA, 267 nt
Filed under: Malus domestica (apple)
Lineage: Eukaryota; Viridiplantae; Streptophyta; Magnoliopsida; Rosales; Rosaceae
Description: long non-coding RNA (MDOM_LNC017634)
Source: RNAcentral
CCAUGAUAUUUAUGAUAUUAAAAGAACCAUAUGGAUUAAAGAUUAUGAGUUGAAUACUCAUAUGAUGAAGACACUAAGAAUAAUCAUUUAUCUUCGUGAGGGUAAAGAUAAAUUAAUAUUUGGUCAAGAAGUACCACAUCUUAGUGAAGUAUAUGCUUUAUUGUAUUUGGCACAAUACAUUGAAUGAAAUAAUGCUUAUUUAUUAAUAUCUCCAAGAAAUUACAGAUAUAUACAUACACAUGAGUUAAAACAAACAAACAGGAUGGA